AGAGUUUGAUCCUGGCUCAGAAUUGAACGCUGGCGGCAUGCCUUACACAUUGCAAGUCGAACGGUAACAGGUCUUCGGAUGCUGACGAGUGGCGAACGGGUGAGUAAUACAUCGGAACGUGCCCGAUCGUGGGGGAUAACGGAGCGAAAGCUUUGCUAAUACCGCAUACGAUCUACGGAUGAAAGCAGGGGACCGCAAGGCCUUGCGCGGACGGAGCGGCCGAUGGCAGAUUAGGUAGUUGGUGGGAUAAAAGCUUACCAAGCCGACGAUCUGUAGCUGGUCUGAGAGGACGACCAGCCACACUGGGACUGAGACACGGCCCAGACUCCUACGGGAGGCAGCAGUGGGGAAUUUUGGACAAUGGGCGAAAGCCUGAUCCAGCCAUGCCGCGUGCAGGAUGAAGGCCUUCGGGUUGUAAACUGCUUUUGUACGGAACGAAAAGACUCCUUCUAAUAAAGGGGGUCCAUGACGGUACCGUAAGAAUAAGCACCGGCUAACUACGUGCCAGCAGCCGCGGUAAUA
This 522-nucleotide ribosomal RNA is filed under the name uncultured bacterium. Its description in RNAcentral is "bacterial SSU rRNA". It matches the Rfam family "Bacterial small subunit ribosomal RNA", at positions 8 to 525 of the family's 1533-position model. The record is from RNAcentral.